AAAUCAGACUGUUCCUACUUCAAGCCCAUACUUGCUAUAGCAGAAAACAAUUGUUACCUUAUGAAUGUUCUAAUGCCAGCUCAAUGAGAAUUUUUAUAGCAUUAAAUGUAACACCAUGCUAUGUUUCUCAUACAUCAGAAAUUGAUAAUGACCGUUCUAAUGUUGUUGUAAGUGAAAAAAGGGGAAAUACUCCAUGCAUCACUUCACCACAUGUUG
This 216-nucleotide unclassified non-coding RNA is filed under the name Hevea brasiliensis (rubber tree). The record is from RNAcentral. Lineage: Eukaryota; Viridiplantae; Streptophyta; Magnoliopsida; Malpighiales; Euphorbiaceae.